UUUUAAUGUAUGACGCCGUUGGUCAACGUUUAACCAUUCGUCUUAUUCAAAAUAUUUAUAUAAUUAUCCUUUAUUUUAUUGUGACUUGAUUUGUCAUCAAAUGUUCUUUAAGCAUGACAUAAAUAUUUUCAUAUUCGCACAAAAAUUUUAAAUAAAACGAAUGGUCAAAUGUUGGUCGAAAAGUCAACGGCGUCAUACAUU
RNAcentral lists this microRNA precursor (201 nucleotides) under Oryza meridionalis. RNAcentral's name for it is "MIR812 microRNA precursor family". It matches the Rfam family "MIR812 microRNA precursor family", at positions 25 to 205 of the family's 205-position model. Lineage: Eukaryota; Viridiplantae; Streptophyta; Magnoliopsida; Poales; Poaceae. The record is from Rfam by way of RNAcentral.